UGGAGAAAAGCAGGGGAUCGCAAGACCUUGCGCUCUUGGAGCGGCCGAUGUCUGAUUAGCUAGUUGGUGAGGUAAAGGCUUACCAAGGCGACGAUCAGUAGCUGGUCUGAGAGGACGACCAGCCACACUGGGACUGAGACACGGCCCAGACUCCUACGGGAGGCAGCAGUGGGGAAUUUUGGACAAUGGGGGAAACCCUGAUCCAGCCAUGCCGCGUGAGUGAAGAAGGCCUUCGGGUUGUAAAGCUCUUUCAGCCGGAACGAAACGGUCACAGCUAAUACCUGUGACUACUGACGGUACCGGAAGAAGAAGCACCGGCUAACUACGUGCCAGCAGCCGCGGUAAUACGUAGGGUGCAAGCGUUAAUCGGAAUUACUGGGCGUAAAGCGUGCGCAGGCGGUUUUGUAAGUCAGAUGUGAAAUCCCCGGGCUUAACCUGGGAACUGCGUUUGAAACUACAAGG
Molecule: ribosomal RNA, 462 nt
Filed under: Nitrosospira sp. enrichment culture
Lineage: Bacteria; Pseudomonadati; Pseudomonadota; Betaproteobacteria; Nitrosomonadales; Nitrosomonadaceae
Description: bacterial SSU rRNA
Rfam family: Bacterial small subunit ribosomal RNA
Source: RNAcentral